RNAcentral lists this ribosomal RNA (253 nucleotides) under uncultured bacterium. Its description in RNAcentral is "partial 16S ribosomal RNA". It matches the Rfam family "Bacterial small subunit ribosomal RNA", at positions 524 to 776 of the family's 1533-position model. The record is from RNAcentral.
UACAGAGGGUGCAAGCGUUGUUCGGAAUUACUGGGCGUAAAGGGCUCGUAGGCGGCCAACUAAGUCAUACGUGAAAUCCCUCGGCUUAACCGGGGAACUGCGUCUGAUACUGGAUGGCUUGAGUUCGGGAGAGGGAUGCGGAAUUCCAGGUGUAGCGGUGAAAUGCGUAGAUAUCUGGAGGAACACCGGUGGCGAAGGCGGCAUCCUGGACCGAUACUGACGCUGAGGAGCGAAAGCCAGGGGAGCAAACGGG